Long non-coding RNA from Populus nigra (black poplar), 1689 nucleotides. RefSeq lists it as uncharacterized. NCBI's taxonomy places the organism in Eukaryota, Viridiplantae, Streptophyta, Magnoliopsida, Malpighiales, Salicaceae. The record is from RefSeq and is a predicted model, not a curated record. The transcript is spliced from 4 exons.
CUUUUUUCCUCAAAAAAUAAAACCACUUAAGUCUAAACUCCACUGAUAAAAAAUAUAUAUAUAUUCAAAACUCACUUGACACAACUUACAUGUCCACCUGUUAAAAAAAUUUACGAGGAAGAUGGUCAAUAGGCUAUUAAGAAUUUUGAAAUUCAUGGAUGUUAAAACACUACUGACAGUGGUAAAACUAAAACUACUCCAAAACAAAUAACCACCACAUUAACUAAAGGGGUGAGAGCCAUAGUGACGUACAGAAAAAAGGGGAAGCACAUCACCACUUUACUCAUAGUCUUGAGAAAAUGAUAAGAAUUGAUGGUGAAGUUUUUAAAGAGCCCUAUACAAUCCUUGGGUAGAUUUCUGUUGAAAACCAAAUAAAAGAAUUUCAUGUAUAUUUUUUGGGUAGAAAGGGAUCAUGAUUUUGUAGGGAUGGUUCAGAAUUGGCCUAUCAUAGGCUCCGUGGAGAGAGCCUGAUGCGCCUUGCUUCAAGUUUCAUGUGAAGGUGAUGAUCAGAUUGCUUUGAACAAGCUGUCCGGUCUUCAAGUUUAAUGCAACUCUAGUGGAGGGCAAGCAAGGACAUCUCUUCCCUAGCAAGCCAAGCAUCACAUCCUGUUCAUCGCCUGCAUCAGUUUCAUUAGUCAGUCAGGAGGAAGCUUUGCUUAUGAGGACUACUUUACACUACUACAUUGCAUUGAUAUGAAAAUAAGAAAUGCUGACAAGCGAAGACCUGGCAUAAUUUUCUUCUGUUCUGCUUUAACUGAAGAAACGGUUCUUGACAUAAUUGUGUGACAGCCAAUGUCAUGGUUGUAAAGCAGAAUAUAUUUUGCUGAUAAAACGUAUUCGAUUCCCUCAUGUAUAGCAAUACCAACAUGGAGCAGAGAAUAAAGCGGAAGAUUUCAAAGAUAUACCUAGCACUAGUGAAUGGGAUACUGAAUCAGGAUAGGUAACACCUUGGCUCAACCACUGCCUUUUGCUUCCUUUUCUGUUUGUGGCAUUUGUACUCUUCUGGUUAUGCUGUGAUUUCUUCUUUGGUUGGCAAUGAUUAUUUUGUGUUUAUAAUGCUGACAACUUGAAGAACCAUCUGUAUCCAGUGGUUGUUUGUUUUUUCUCAAUCACGCCAUUCCUUGCAAAUAACUUUUCAUGAUAAGAAUCAGGAUAGGUAACAAUGCGUUUCCCUGGAGUGGCCAAAGGGCUGUGUGUUGCUUCACCCUCAGGUUCAUUAAAUCCUUCCCUUCUCUAAAUAAAAUUUCUGUUUUUUUCCUCCUCUCAAGCACUCCUAGUUACUGCAUAAAUUCAAUACUAUAUAGAAAUUUUUUAGUUGUGUUUUCUAGUCUCCUGAAGUGUCCUCGCCUUUGAAUGUUUGUUAUUCCACUAUUUGCUGUCAAGAUCCUCCUUUUCUAUUUUGAAUGUAUUUCUGAUCAUGUUUAUGUUUUACUAAUGGCCAAGCCAGGAUAACCAUCUUUGAGCAAAGUUGGAAGUCCUUGAGAGAGAUGCACGACGAAACCACACAUUGGUCCAGGCUGAGAUUGAAUCAGGACGCCCACGCCAGAUUUGCCUUCUCUCGUUCAUAGGGCAUCCUUUGCUGGGUAGACCUUAGUGUGGAUAGUUUUUUACUGUGUAUUUGAAUGAAGUUUACACCUUUGUCAACAUUCAGAAGGCAAUUGAUAUGGGAAAGAAAGCUGUUUAUCGCUA